UGGGUUGUAGCUCAGUGGUAGAGUGCUUGCCCAGCAUGUGAGGCCCUGAGUUUGAUCCUUAGCACCACAU
This 70-nucleotide transfer RNA is filed under the name Marmota monax (woodchuck). RNAcentral's name for it is "tRNA.Ala". Lineage: Eukaryota; Metazoa; Chordata; Mammalia; Rodentia; Sciuridae. The record is from RNAcentral.